UUAAUUCUUCUCUACAUUUUUUUUUCUUUCUUUUUCUUUCCAUUAAUUUUUGUUCCCCACUUCUCUACACCACUUUUCCCCACCACUCACUUUCCCCCACCGCUCAUCAUUUUUCCCACCACUCAUCACUCAAUUAUGCAAUAUUACACCAUUUUCACUCCCAAUCUUCACAAGGGAAUUCACCCAGGAGAAAUCUGCAUUCAUCGCCCUGCUGCCAAAAUUUCAGAGGUAAGCUUGGUUCAAUUUCUUCACCUUCUUCCAUAUUCCACCUGCAUUAAUACAAGAACA
RNAcentral lists this long non-coding RNA (288 nucleotides) under Salvia miltiorrhiza (redroot sage). RNAcentral describes it as "long non-coding RNA (SMIL_LNC011944)". Lineage: Eukaryota; Viridiplantae; Streptophyta; Magnoliopsida; Lamiales; Lamiaceae. The record is from RNAcentral.